Long non-coding RNA from Drosophila santomea, 706 nucleotides. RefSeq lists it as uncharacterized. The record is from RefSeq and is a predicted model, not a curated record. The transcript is spliced from 3 exons. NCBI's taxonomy places the organism in Eukaryota, Metazoa, Arthropoda, Insecta, Diptera, Drosophilidae.
CCUGAAUUUUCAUAUUAGAUUAAAGUAUUAGCAUUCAUUCCAUACCUAAGAUCCAAGAACGUUAUUUAUAUAAUUUGUUUGCACAUACAAAAUAUGAAUAAGUAGUGAAAUGGAAGAUUAACUCUUUAUGGCACUUAUACUACCUUGUAUUUUUAGCAUUGUUCACAUGGCUCCCCAUUUCUCUCAGUGCCCAGAAACAGAGACCCUAAAGCGCUGAUCAGGCUUGGAUUUUUGCACCUGUCACUGCUCAAAUCAAAGAAGACAGCAUAUAUGGUAUAAUAUGCCAGUGGAGAGCGAAGCGGUCCGAUCUCAGCACACUUAACCAAUUAUAUGUAAGUAACUGCAGAACAGAAACAAGAAUGGCGCAAAAACCCAUUAAGCACCAGCAAUUAAGCAUUCCGCAAUUGGCUCAAUUGAUCAAAGGAUGUCUGGGGUUAAUGUGAUUGCAUUUUAAAUGGCAAUUUGCGAUGAAAAUUUCAAGAACUUCUGCCAUAUUAACAGCGAUACACGUUUUAUUUGCGCGUAAUUAAAACUUUUUUGCCAACCGCAGUGGAGAAAGGGAAAUUCAUCAGGAGCUUAAUCGAUUUUUUAUUUCUUUGGGCAGGAAACUACGCAGAACACACCAACCCCCUUGUUUAUGGCUAAUGGAUUUUAUCGAUUGCGGUGUAUUUUUACUUUUAUCUGUCAAUUAUUAAAUCGAUAGCAA